This 80-nucleotide ribosomal RNA is filed under the name Pteropus alecto (black flying fox). Lineage: Eukaryota; Metazoa; Chordata; Mammalia; Chiroptera; Pteropodidae. The record is from RNAcentral.
AGCUGCAGCCAUGCUGCCCUGAACGUGCCUGGUUAGUACUUGGAUGGGAGACCACCUAGGAAGACCAGGUGCUGUAGGCA